CCUGGUGGUUCAGACGGUAAAGCGUCUGCCUGCAAUGCGGGAGACCCAGGUUCGAUUCCUGGGUCAGGA
RNAcentral lists this transfer RNA (69 nucleotides) under Bos taurus (domestic cattle). It matches the Rfam family "tRNA". Rfam says of the family: Transfer RNA (tRNA) molecules are approximately 80 nucleotides in length. Their secondary structure includes four short double-helical elements and three loops (D, anti-codon, and T loops). Further hydrogen bonds mediate the characteristic L-shaped molecular structure. tRNAs have two regions of fundamental functional importance: the anti-codon, which is responsible for specific mRNA codon recognition, and the 3' end, to which the tRNAs corresponding amino acid is attached (by aminoacyl-tRNA synthetases). tRNAs cope with the degeneracy of the genetic code in two manners: having more than one tRNA (with a specific anti-codon) for a particular amino acid; and 'wobble' base-pairing, i.e. permitting non-standard base-pairing at the 3rd anti-codon position. RNAcentral also lists the same sequence under 3 other names. Lineage: Eukaryota; Metazoa; Chordata; Mammalia; Artiodactyla; Bovidae. The record is from Rfam by way of RNAcentral.